RNAcentral lists this ribosomal RNA (1764 nucleotides) under Triticum aestivum (bread wheat). RNAcentral's name for it is "partial small subunit ribosomal RNA". Lineage: Eukaryota; Viridiplantae; Streptophyta; Magnoliopsida; Poales; Poaceae. The record is from RNAcentral.
AUGUCAGCGAGCUCGUUGGCGUCGUACUGCCCCAACAGGAGUGCCAUCGGGUCGGCGGCGCUGCUGGCGGCUGCAACCAUGGAUGAUGGAAAUUAUCAGAUUCAUGAAACUCGACCUGUUGAAGAAGUUUCAGUCCAGCUUCACUCACCGCCUUUCAUUGUCAUCGAGACAACCGGCAUUGCUCAGAACGCCACAUCCCCGGCCUACUCUCUCUUCACCCGUCAAUGCUCAUGUGCUUUGACCCUCCCCGACCCCUCCCAGCAAGCAGUAGAGUCUCUCUUGUUUGAGCUCCACCGGGCCGGCGGCGGCGACGUCCAUGUUCGUUGGGCGGAGCACAACGCUGGGGUUGAAGUCCACCAUGCUGCUACUGAUGAUGAGGCUCUCCUCCUUUGUCCACCGGUUAUCAGACAACUGCGUAUGAGACGUCCAUCGUCGUACACUCAUUUGAUCGUGCUGAUGCGCCUGGCUGUGGGAUGGCUUCUGCUGGGAUGCUCCGAGGCAUGCAUCGAUCUUUCUCCUGUUCUAACACUAAGGGCAUAUCUUGGCUUGAAUGCUGCUGGGUCGAUGAACGUCAUGCAACAUCGCAGGAAUUUUAAAUUCCAAAUACAGGUGUGCAUGUGUCCACUUGGAAGCUACUUGUUCGUUUUGCUUACUCGUGACUGUAUGUUGGCUUCGUGCUGGUGGGCUAUAGUUCUCCUGUCACAAAUCAUGGAGACAUUCAUCCUCGCAGAUUUCUGCUCCUGCUAUGUGAAAAGGGCAAUCCACAACAUGAAUAUACAUGUAGCAAUGGUGUGCCCUUGGAACGUCCUGCAUGUAGUUGUUGGGCAUGCACAUUGUGGAAUGGUUGUAGCAACUCGCUGGACUGCGGAUCAGGCCAUUCCCUUCCUCAGCAGAGCAGUCGGGCAAUUUUUGGACUACAGAAUUAGAUGCACUAAUGUAUACAAAAGGUGGACGACUACAAAUCCAGUGACCGUUGCUCCGUUGUGGACAUGGGAGUCGUCUGAAUUUUGUCGUCCAUAUAGCAAGGUUCCUAUGCAUAUCCUGUCAAGUAAAUCUUUUCAUGAAAAUAUGAGGUGGGCCGUGGGCAUCAAUCUUUCGCAGACUGUAGCUGACAGAGCAUUUGUUGUGAUGGUGUUGGAAGCGUCGUGUAUGGCAAAGGUAAAUUGUGAUAUGGAGAGUAGUAUUUAUUUGUCCGAGUUGGGUGGAGAAGAGACCUCAUUAGUGUAUCCUAGAGUGCAUGGCAAAAUUGAAGGAAAUGGAAGGGAUGUGUCCGGCUAUUUUACUUUUUGUUUUAUGCUCUGGUGGGACGGUAAAGAAUUGUUUAUCCGGUUUGUACGAAUGGUACGUUGUGGCCAAGAAGGAAUACACAUGGCCACUACCAAGGAACGUGGCUUGAUCAGAACAUGCAAUUCACCAUUUAGGUACUACUGCAACAAAACACAUCUUCUAGAACAUGUUACCUAUCUUGGGAGAGUUUGUUUGAGCGGUGUAACGUCUGAUUUGGUGUAUCAGUUCAAAAAUAGCCGGCAAAACAAGAGAUGUGAAAAAAAUACUUCCAUGCUUCAAGGAAUCAUAUGGAAUCAGGACUCUUUGGAAGAAAUGGACAUAGCAAAUGAGCAUGGUCCAAUGCAGGUUCUGCAGUGGGAGAUGAAUCAGAUGUACAUGAGAGGAAUGAAGAAAUAUGAUUCAUUUCUGUUACUCACAAACUACAUGUACAACAUUGAGAAGCUCCUCAUGAAUCAAGCUUACAACACUGAGCAUUAA